This 66-nucleotide transfer RNA is filed under the name Amitermes sp. ANIC 0599. RNAcentral's name for it is "tRNA-Asp". The record is from RNAcentral. Lineage: Eukaryota; Metazoa; Arthropoda; Insecta; Blattodea; Termitidae.
AAAGGAUUAGUUAACCAUAUAACAUCAGAAUGUCAAACUGAAGUAAUCGAAUAAAGAUAUCCUUUU